This is a long non-coding RNA of Polyodon spathula (Mississippi paddlefish), 383 nucleotides long. RefSeq lists it as uncharacterized. The transcript is spliced from 3 exons. Lineage: Eukaryota; Metazoa; Chordata; Actinopteri; Acipenseriformes; Polyodontidae. The record is from RefSeq and is a predicted model, not a curated record.
CGGAAAAUAGAAUGAAGGAGGCUGAAAAGGUUUACAGCCCUCCGGAUGAGGAAAAUGUGCUUCCAAUCAUCUUUUAAAGCACUCAACGUGUGGAAGUGAAUUGCCAUCGAUUGGUACUCAGUUGUGGGGGAAGCACAGCUUUUCUUGUUUUGAAAUCGACACAUUUAAUGAAUGGAUUUCACCACUUCUUAAAGGCAAUCAUAGCAUGAACAUGAGUGUCGGCACACCCCUACUAUUUAACCUACAACUCAAAGCCUCUGGCAAUUCUUGUUAAUGCUUUACUGCAAGUGUUGUUUCCUAGGAAAGAAAUAAAGAAAUUAAAUCAAAAGUUUCUGGAACCAUUCAGAAUGAGUUGGCAUAGCCUGAACAUUUGAAUUUUCAAC